CCUCUGCCUUUCCCUCUCCCUCCCUCCCUCCUCCUCCCUCCCUCGCUGCUCCCUCCCUCUCUCUCUGCUGCAUUUUGCAUGAGCUAUCUAGGUCAUUAGCAUUUUAGCGUAUGCAAGACUUGACAAAGCUGAUGAGAAGCCAGAUGGGCCCCUCUCCUCUUUUUUUUGCACCACUUGGGAUCUGAGCGAAAGGAUUGACUGCAGCAGGCGAACGGGGGAAGGUUUAUUGCGCUCCUCCAGACCCCCCCCGUUUAUAGCAGCGCGGCGGGGCUCGGGGCAGGCGGCAGAGAGCGGGCAGCGGCGGGCAGAGACGGAGGGCAGCUCCACGCACGGACCCUCACCUACGGAGUGGUGCCCUUGGGAACACUGACAGCGGCUCGGGGUCCCUGGGACACCUCUUUGCUCCCCACUUCCCCCCCCCGCGGGGUGCUGCAGGUAUUUCGGGACAGCCCUCCCUGGGCUCUCCUCCCAGUCGGGUGCGGAUGCCGCAAGGAGCCCGUCGGGUCGUGCCGUGCCAAUAAAGCUCUUUCCUCGCGGGU
Molecule: long non-coding RNA, 539 nt
Organism: Myiozetetes cayanensis
Lineage: Eukaryota; Metazoa; Chordata; Aves; Passeriformes; Tyrannidae
Exons: 2
Source: RefSeq, a predicted model, not a curated record